This 596-nucleotide long non-coding RNA is filed under the name Podarcis muralis (Common wall lizard). RNAcentral's name for it is "lncRNA (ENSPMRG00000017094.1)". The record is from RNAcentral. Lineage: Eukaryota; Metazoa; Chordata; Lepidosauria; Squamata; Lacertidae.
UUGUCCACCCCCCUGAAACUCCAGCGCAGAAGCAACACUGGGGGGAAACUGAGGAAUUGAGCUGAUGGGAGACUGGCUUUCUCCCUCUUCUGCAAAAGAACCAGGGCCAGGAUUGUGGAGGAAGUGGAGAAACGAAGACGUGGAUUUUGAGAAGAGGGACUGAGACGCUUUCUGCCCAUCUUCCUUCCUCCUUUAAGCUUCCUUACAGCCAAGAGAACCUGAAAUAAUAGUACCAAGAGGUUCUCUCCUCGAGAAGAUGUCUUCCCUCCUGGCCGCCAUGGUCCUCCUCCUCCAUAGCUGAACCGUGGGGCUCCCUGACCUUCUGGAGGAUUUAGUGCUGAUGGUGCAGAAGAUAACGGGAUAAAAAAGGACAGUUCCCACCGGCUGACUGUGGAAACAGGAAAGAAGCUGAGAUCAUCCUGUUUCCUUUUCUACCCUGAGCCAUCCUAGGGGCAGCUGCAAUCCUGCCCACAACUUAUCCUAGUACUCUGUGGAAGGCACUGGCGGGGAGAGCAGCACAGCAGGUGAGCAGAGGUGAAUUAUUUGGGCCCUAGGACAGGCUUCCUCCUGAAGUUGGGGGGUGGGGUGGGGUUGGG